RNAcentral lists this long non-coding RNA (1082 nucleotides) under Ficedula albicollis (Collared flycatcher). RNAcentral describes it as "lncRNA (ENSFALG00000018581.2)". Lineage: Eukaryota; Metazoa; Chordata; Aves; Passeriformes; Muscicapidae. The record is from RNAcentral.
GGCAGGGAUCACUGCAAGAAGAGAGGUUGCUUGCUUUACAUCCAUCUGGCCUAAGAAAAGGAGGCAUGGAAACUCAAGGCAAGAUAUCCAGGGUACUCAAAACUGGCUUAACAGUGUACUCCUCUAUACUGUGGCAACUGGGGAUUUCAACAGGCUGUCACCAGCAUUUGGGCAGGAGACCCAGAGAGAUGUCACAUCACCUCCCCAGCAGCAGUUCCAUAAGCCUCCCAUAAGUGCCUACAGAACCAUAAUGUUAGGAGCAGCACACACCACCACAUAACACCAUCAGAGGCUGAGGGUUGGAAACAAGCGUUCUGGACGUCAGUUUCCUUUGAAGCACCCCACGACCACUCAUCAGAGUGACCCUCCAAAUCACAACUGCAUCUCCCCCUCACCAGCCUGAUGCUCUGCAGGCACGAGCCAGUAAUAUAUUACCUAAAUUCACUCACCGCUGCGAGUCAACUGCUCAAACAUCUAAAUAAGCAACCUAAGGGGAAUUCUAAUGGCUCAUCAGUUUUAUGCAGCAGAGGAAUUUGCCGACUUAGAUCACGCAAAUCUUGCCGGACCUCUACUCCAAAGGACCUUACACUCGUGCCUUUAAGACAAAGAAGGUUCACAUCCAACUGUAAGGCAGACAAUAACUUCCAGGCGAAAAAAAAAAAAAAAAAAAAAAAAAGGGGGGGGGGGGGGGGGGGGGGGGGGGGGGGGGGGGGGGGGGGGGGGGGGGGGGGGGGGGGGGGGGGGGGGGGGGGGGGGGGGGGGGGGGGGGGGGGGGGGAAAAAAAAAAAAAAAAAAAAAAAAAAAGGCAGGCAUGAGUAACUCGUUUCCCCAGCUGUCUGAGUGAGGGGCAGGCCUGCAGGGAGCACGGCGUCCCCGAGCAGCCGGAGCAGCGCUCGGCCACCGAGCCGCAUUUCUCACCGUGUCCUGCACCAAUCCAGAGAGCAGAUUAUGGAAACAGAACAGGCGCUAAAAGCGAGCUGGGGGGAGGACGGCGGGGGGAAGGGGGGAGGGGGGGGGGGGGGGGGGGGGGGGGGGGGGGGGGGGGGGGGGGGGGGGGGGGGGGGGGGGGGGGGGGGGGGGGG